Non-coding RNA from Cyanistes caeruleus (blue tit), 264 nucleotides. Lineage: Eukaryota; Metazoa; Chordata; Aves; Passeriformes; Paridae. The record is from RefSeq and is a predicted model, not a curated record.
AGGGAAAUCCAUCUGGGAGUUGGUGGUGGAGCAGUUCGAGGAUCUCCUGGUUCGGAUCCUGCUCUUGGCCGCCUGCAUUUCCUUCGUCCUGGCCUGGUUCGAGGAGGGCGAGGAAACCAUCACGGCCUUCGUCGAGCCCUUCGUCAUCCUCCUCAUCCUCAUCGCCAACGCCGUCGUCGGGGUCUGGCAGGAGCGGAAUGCCGAGAACGCCAUCGAGGCUCUGAAGGAGUACGAGCCCGAGAUGGGCAAAGUUUACCCCAAAAA